ACGACAAUAGAACUGUGGUACCACCUGAUCCCAUCUCGAACUCAGAAGUGAAACGCAGUAUCGCCGAUGGUAGUGUGGGGCUUCCCCAUGUGAGAGUAGGUCAUUGUUG
This 109-nucleotide ribosomal RNA is filed under the name marine eukaryotic metagenome. The record is from RNAcentral.